RNAcentral lists this ribosomal RNA (253 nucleotides) under uncultured bacterium. Its description in RNAcentral is "partial 16S ribosomal RNA". It matches the Rfam family "Bacterial small subunit ribosomal RNA", at positions 524 to 776 of the family's 1533-position model. The record is from RNAcentral.
UACGUAGGGACCAAGCGUUGUCCGGAAUCAUUGGGCGUAAAGAGCGUGUAGGCGGCUUGUUAAGUCUUGCGUGAAAUCUCGGGGCUCAACCCCGAGUGCGUGAGAACAUGUGAGCGUAGAGUGCGGGAGAGGAGAGUGGAAUUCCUGGUGUAGCAGUGAAAUGCGCAGAUAUCAGGAAGAACACCCGUGGCGAAGGCGGCUCUCUGGAACGCAACUGACGCUGAGACGCGAAAAGCGUGGGGGAGCAAACAGG